RNAcentral lists this ribosomal RNA (774 nucleotides) under uncultured Neocallimastigales. Its description in RNAcentral is "partial large subunit ribosomal RNA". It matches the Rfam family "Eukaryotic large subunit ribosomal RNA", at positions 24 to 647 of the family's 3401-position model. The record is from RNAcentral. Lineage: Eukaryota; Fungi; Neocallimastigomycota; Neocallimastigomycetes; Neocallimastigales.
UAUGUGAUCGUCUCUCGCAUAUCAAUAAGCGGAGGAAAAGAAACUAACAAGGAUUCCCUUAGUAACGGCGAGUGAAGCGGGAAGAGCUCAAAUUUGAAAUCUUAAAGGGUUUCCCUUUACGAAUUGUAGUUUAAAGAAGUGUUUUCUGUUGAGGUUUUGGUAAAAGUUCUUUGGAAUAGGACAUCAUAGAGGGUGAGAGUCCCGUAUUUGACCUUUACUUUCAACUUUGUGAUACGCUUUCAAAGAGUCGGAUUGUUUGGGAAUGCAGUCCAAAAUGGGUGGUAAAUUUCAUCUAAAGCUAAAUAUUGGCGAGAGACCGAUAGCGAACAAGUACCGUGAGGGAAAGAUGAAAAGAACUUUGAAAAGAGGGUUAGACAGUACGUGAAAUUGUCAAAAGGGAAGCGUUUGACACCAGUGUUGUUUUUCUGAAAAUCAAUUAAAGAACUGUUUAUGCUAAGCUGUUUAGACUUUAUCAGCUAUCUGUUUAGUUUUGAGCUUUUCUUUAAUGCACUUUUCAGUUAACAAGUCAACAUCAAUUUCUUUUGCUGUAAAAAAGCUUGAGGAAGGUGGCUUGAGAUUCGUCUUAAGUGUUUAUAGCCUCUUGCCUAUGCAGUCGGAGAGAUUGAGGUCUGCAGCGUAGAUCCUUCGGGGCUAAAUGCAUUUGUGCUAAGUUAUAGCAUUUUAUAGACAACUUGUUGACUAUGAUUUGUCUUGUAGCUUACUCGCUUAUGUUAUUUUACCUACGCUUAGGAUGUUGAUCUGUAGUGCGUGCGC